GAUGAACGCUGACGGCGUGCCUAAUACAUGCAAGUCGAGCGAACGGACGAGAAGCUUGCUUCUCUGAUGUUAGCGGCGGACGGGUGAGUAACACGUGGAUAACCUACCUAUAAGACUGGGAUAACUUCGGGAAACCGGAGCUAAUACCGGAUAAUAUUUUGAACCGCAUGGUUCAAAAGUGAAAGACGGUCUUGCUGUCACUUAUAGAUGGAUCCGCGCUGCAUUAGCUAGUUGGUAAGGUAACGGCUUACCAAGGCAACGAUGCAUAGCCGACCUGAGAGGGUGAUCGGCCACACUGGAACUGAGACACGGUCCAGACUCCUACGGGAGGCAGCAGUAGGGAAUCUUCCGCAAUGGGCGAAAGCCUGACGGAGCAACGCCGCGUGAGUGAUGAAGGUCUUCGGAUCGUAAAACUCUGUUAUUAGGGAAGAACAUAUGUGUAAGUAACUGUGCACAUCUUGACAGUACCUAAUCAGAAAGCCACGGCUAACUACGUG
RNAcentral lists this ribosomal RNA (497 nucleotides) under uncultured bacterium. RNAcentral's name for it is "partial 16S ribosomal RNA". It matches the Rfam family "Bacterial small subunit ribosomal RNA", at positions 28 to 507 of the family's 1533-position model. The record is from RNAcentral.